This 520-nucleotide unclassified non-coding RNA is filed under the name uncultured Glomus. RNAcentral's name for it is "SSU rRNA". It matches the Rfam family "Eukaryotic small subunit ribosomal RNA", at positions 569 to 1090 of the family's 1831-position model. The record is from RNAcentral. Lineage: Eukaryota; Fungi; Glomeromycota; Glomeromycetes; Glomerales; Glomeraceae.
AGCAGCCGCGGUAAUUCCAGCUCCAAUAGCGUAUAUUAAAGUUGUUGCAGUUAAAAAGCUCGUAGUUGAAUUUCGGGGUUAGUAGGUUGGUCAUGCCUCUGGUAUGUACUGGUCUCACUGAUUCCUCCUUCCUGAUGAGCCGUAAUGCCAUUAAUUUGGUGUUGCGGGGAAUUUGGACUGUUACUUUGAAAAAUUAGAGCGUUUAAAGCAAGCUAACGCUUGAAUACAUUAGCAUGGAAUAAUGAAAUAGGACGUUCGAUCCUAUUUUGUUGGUUUCUAGGAUUGACGUAAUGAUUAAUAGGGAUAGUUGGGGGCACUAGUAUUCAAUUGUCAGAGGUGAAAUUCUUGGAUUUAUUGAAGACUAACUACUGCGAAAGCAUUUGCCAAGGAUGUUUUCAUUAAUCAAGAACGAAAGUUAGGGGAUCGAAGACGAUCAGAUACCGUCGUAGUCUUAACCAUAAACUAUGCCGACUAGGGAUCGGAUGAUGUUAAUUUUUUAAUGUACUCAUUCGGCGCCUUA